GCGGGUGGGGAGGGCCUAUUCUUGCAAGUUCGAGCGGACAGAAGGGAGCUUGCUCCCGGAUGUUAGCGGCGGACGGGUGAGUAACACGUGGGUAACCUGCCUGUAAGACUGGGAUAACUCCGGGAAACCGGAGCUAAUACCGGAUAGUUCCUUGAACCGCAUGGUUCAAGGAUGAAAGACGGUUUCGGCUGUCACUUACAGAUGGACCCGCGGCGCAUUAGCUAGUUGGUGAGGUAACGGCUCACCAAGGCGACGAUGCGUAGCCGACCUGAGAGGGUGAUCGGCCACACUGGGACUGAGACACGGCCCAGACUCCUACGGGAGGCAGCAGUAGGGAAUCUUCCGCAAUGGACGAAAGUCUGACGGAGCAACGCCGCGUGAGUGAUGAAGGUUUUCGGAUCGUAAAGCUCUGUUGUUAGGGAAGAACAAGUGCAAGAGUAACUGCUUGCACCUUGACGGUACCUAACCAGAAAGCCACGGCUAACUACGUGCCAGCAGCCGCGGUAAUACGUAGGUGGCAAGCGUUGUCCGGAAUUAUUGGGCGUAAAGGGCUCGCAGGCGGUUUCUUAAGUCUGAUGUGAAAGCCCCCGGCUCAACCGGGGAGGGUCAUUGGAAACUGGGAAACUUGAGUGCAGAAGAGGAGAGUGGAAUUCCACGUGUAGCGGUGAAAUGCGUAGAGAUGUGGAGGAACACCAGUGGCGAAGGCGACUCUCUGGUCUGUAACUGACGCUGAGGAGCGAAAGCGUGGGGAGCGAACAGGAUUAGAUACCCUGGUAGUCCAA
RNAcentral lists this ribosomal RNA (782 nucleotides) under Bacillus pumilus. RNAcentral's name for it is "bacterial SSU rRNA". It matches the Rfam family "Bacterial small subunit ribosomal RNA", at positions 35 to 798 of the family's 1533-position model. Lineage: Bacteria; Bacillati; Bacillota; Bacilli; Caryophanales; Bacillaceae. The record is from RNAcentral.